UGAAAUCUUUCCAUGUUGUCUCACCUGGCCU
RNAcentral lists this non-coding RNA (31 nucleotides) under Mus musculus (house mouse). Lineage: Eukaryota; Metazoa; Chordata; Mammalia; Rodentia; Muridae. The record is from RNAcentral.